This 29-nucleotide non-coding RNA is filed under the name Homo sapiens (human). The record is from RNAcentral. Lineage: Eukaryota; Metazoa; Chordata; Mammalia; Primates; Hominidae.
UGAGAGUGUUAGGACCUGCUCUAGGGUGU